CAGCAGCCGCGGUAAUACGAAGGUGGCGAGCGUUGUUCGGAAUCACUGGGCUUAAAGAGCACGUAGGCGGACUGCCAAGCGUCUUGUGAAAUCCCCCGGCUCAACCGGGGAAUUGCUGGGCGAACUGGUAGUCUUGAGGCAAGUAGGGGCAGAUGGAACUCUUGGUGGAGCGGUGGAAUGCGUAGAUAUCAAGAGGAACGCCAGAGGCGAAGCCGAUCUGCUGGGCUUGACCUGACGCUGAGGUGCGAAAGCCAGGGGAGCAAACGGGAUUAGAUACCCCGGUAGUCCUGGCCAUAAACGAUGUCCACUAGAUCGGUGAACUUCUGACAGUGUGCCGGUCGAAACAAAAGCGUUAAGUGGACCGCCUGGGGAGUACGGUCGCAAGGCUAAAACUCAAAGGAAUUGACGGGGGCUCACACAAGCGGUGGAGCAUGUUGCUUAAUUCGAUGCAACGCGAAGAACCUUAUCCUGGGCUUGACAUGCUUGGAUGCCCAUCUGGAAACAGAGUAGGCUGCCCUUCGGGGUGAAACUUGCACAGGUGCUGCAUGGCUGUCGUCAGCUCGUGUCGUGAGAUGUUGGGUUAAGUCCCGUAACGAGCGAAACCCUUGUCGUUAGUUGCCAGCGCGUAAUGGCGGGGACUCUAGCGAGACUGCCGGUGUUAAACCGGAGGAAGGUGGGGAUGACGUCAAGUCCUCAUGGCCUUUAUGCCCAGGGCUGCAAACGUGCUACAAUGGCGAGGACAAACCGACGCAAAGCCGCGAGGUCGAGCAAAUCGGAGAAACCUUGCCCCAGUUCGGAUUGGAGUCUGCAACUCGACUCCAUGAAGUCGGAAUCGCU
RNAcentral lists this ribosomal RNA (837 nucleotides) under uncultured organism. RNAcentral describes it as "bacterial SSU rRNA". It matches the Rfam family "Bacterial small subunit ribosomal RNA", at positions 509 to 1336 of the family's 1533-position model. The record is from RNAcentral.